CGACGAUGAUCUCCAGCUUGCUGGGGGGAUUAGUGGCGAACGGGUGAGUAACACGUGAGUAACCUGCCCUUGACUCUGGGAUAAGCCUGGGAAACUGGGUCUAAUACCGGAUAUGACUGCUCCGCGCAUGCGGUGGUGGUGGAAAGCUUUUGCGGUUUUGGAUGGACUCGCGGCCUAUCAGCUUGUUGGUGGGGUAAUGGCCUACCAAGGMGACGACGGGUAGCCGGCCUGAGAGGGUGACCGGCCACACUGGGACUGAGACACGGCCCAGACUCCUACGGGAGGCAGCAGUGGGGAAUAUUGCACAAUGGGCGAAAGCCUGAUGCAGCGACGCCGCGUGAGGGAUGACGGCCUUCGGGUUGUAAACCUCUUUCAGUAGGGAAGAAGCGUAAGUGACGGUACCUGCAGAAGAAGCGCCGGCUAACUACGUGCCAGCAGCCGCGGUAAUACGUAGGGCGCAAGCGUUAUCCGGAAUUAUUGGGCGUAAAGAGCUCGUAGGCGGUUUGUCGCGUCUGCUGUGAAAGACCGGGGCUCAACUCCGGUUCUGCAGUGGGUACGGGCAGACUAGAGUGAUGUAGGGGAGACUGGAAUUCCUGGUGUAGCGGUGAAAUGCGCAGAUAUCAGGAGGAACACCGAUGGCGAAGGCAGGUCUCUGGGCAUUAACUGACGCUGAGGAGCGAAAGCAUGGGGAGCGAACAGGAUUAGAUACCCUGGUAGUCCAUGCCGUAAACGUUGGGCACUAGGUGUGGGGGACAUUCCACGUUUUCCGCGCCGUAGCUAACGCAUUAAGUGCCCCGCCUGGGGAGUACGGCCGCAAGGCUAAAACUCAAAGGAAUUGACGGGGGCCCGCACAAGCGGCGGAGCAUGCGGAUUAAUUCGAUGCAACGCGAGAACCUUACCAAGGCUUGACAUGACUAGUAAGCGCAGAAUGUGUUCCCCUCUUGAGGCUGGUUACAGGUGGUGCAUGUGUCGUCAGCUCGUGUCGU
Molecule: ribosomal RNA, 986 nt
Filed under: bacterium enrichment culture clone SeA12
Lineage: Bacteria
Description: bacterial SSU rRNA
Rfam family: Bacterial small subunit ribosomal RNA
Source: RNAcentral